GGUGGCUCAUUGGUAGAGUGCUUGCCUUGCAUGCAUGAGGCCCUAGGUUCAAUUCCUCAGCACCA
RNAcentral lists this transfer RNA (65 nucleotides) under Dipodomys ordii (Ord's kangaroo rat). It matches the Rfam family "tRNA". Rfam says of the family: Transfer RNA (tRNA) molecules are approximately 80 nucleotides in length. Their secondary structure includes four short double-helical elements and three loops (D, anti-codon, and T loops). Further hydrogen bonds mediate the characteristic L-shaped molecular structure. tRNAs have two regions of fundamental functional importance: the anti-codon, which is responsible for specific mRNA codon recognition, and the 3' end, to which the tRNAs corresponding amino acid is attached (by aminoacyl-tRNA synthetases). tRNAs cope with the degeneracy of the genetic code in two manners: having more than one tRNA (with a specific anti-codon) for a particular amino acid; and 'wobble' base-pairing, i.e. permitting non-standard base-pairing at the 3rd anti-codon position. The record is from Rfam by way of RNAcentral. Lineage: Eukaryota; Metazoa; Chordata; Mammalia; Rodentia; Heteromyidae.